Molecule: long non-coding RNA, 1158 nt
Filed under: Capra hircus (goat)
Lineage: Eukaryota; Metazoa; Chordata; Mammalia; Artiodactyla; Bovidae
Description: lncRNA (ENSCHIG00000007395.1)
Source: RNAcentral
AUGAACUCCCUAGUCAUAGUGCUGUUUGGAAGACACUCCCCUGAAAGGGGACAAAACCUGGAUGAAAUGAACAUUGAGAGCAGGCUUGACCCGCAAGAUCGAGGAUACAGCAGCAGAGCACAGAGGCAGGCGGCAGAAGACAGAUGUGUUGUUACAGGAGAAAUGCACUCUCAGCUAAAGGAAAGGUCGGUCACAAACAGCAGCUCCAAGGACUGGUGAGGGUGCAGGUCUUGUUCCAAGGUAACCAGGUCUGACCUGCUCUGCAGAGAGUGGAAAGAAGGCAGGGUUAUAGACUGCUUAUUGUCCAUGAGUAGGCUCAAGACUCAGAGAUUUCACAGCCUGGAGGGAGCUUAGGUCUCUCAUCUCAGCUCAUAAUUGCUGCAGAAUAAGGAACCGAAAAAGCAGAGAAGUGAAGUGAUAGGCCCAGGCAGGCCAAAAGACCACAAGCCUAUUUUUUGUCAUUUUGGGGCUUGAAGGGCAUGAUAUGGGGGAGGUGUUGAGGGCCAGUUUAGCACACAUGCCUCCUCUUCCGGCUGGGAGUCACUGAGCAGCCCAGCAGAGAAGGUCUGGCAAAAAACAAGUAAUUGUAGAAGCAAUUACUCCAGGAUGACCUAUUUUGUAGACAGUGCUAGGUACCUGGCAUGUCUUAUUAAGGAAUUCACCAAAAAAAGAGAUAUUUUCCUUAGAAACUCUUCCAGCCUCCAAAAUCUGUUUCUAAUCGCCUUUGGCAGAACCUCCAGUCUGUUCUAGGCCCUGUGCUAGACAGAUGAAUCUAGGUGAAAUAAUGGAUGAAGAAGGCAUGUACUUCUAGGAUUUCUUAGUCUCACAGGGGAUCAGCACUGGAUAAGAAUGAUUGUGAUAUGGUAUGAUAAAUUUAAUAAUGUCUAUAGCACAGAAGAGGAAGUGAGUAAUUGCUGAGGGACAGGAACCCGGGGAGGUAGGCAGAGAAGGCGUCACAAAGGUGACAGAGAAGGUAUAGAAGCAAGAAUAGGAGCUCUUCAGACCUCCAACUCCAUUUUUAAAUUAACAGCAUUAAAUCAACCUUCUCUAAAACACCACUGUUAAUUCUUCAACGAUUUACAAAGCAACAGUUCUUACUCCAUCUACCUCUCAUUACAUAAUGGAAACCACACACACACACACAUAUAUAUACACCAU